UAGGGAAUCUUCCGCAAUGGACGCAAGUCUGACGGAGCAACGCCGCGUGAGUGAAGAAGGAUUUCGGUUCGUAAAACUCUGUUGUUAGAGAAGAACAGCGCAUAGAGUAACUGUUAUGCGUGUGACGGUAUCUAACCAGAAAGCCACGGCUAACUACGUGCCAGCAGCCGCGGUAAUACGUAGGUGGCAAGCGUUGUCCGGAUUUAUUGGGCGUAAAGCGAGCGCAGGCGGUCAAUUAAGUCUGAUGUGAAAGCCCCCGGCUCAACCGGGGAGGGUCAAUGGAAACUGGUUGACUUGAGUGCAGGAGAGGAGAGUGGAAUUCCAUGUGUAGCGGUGAAAUGCGUAGAUAUAUGGAGGAACACCAGUGGCGAGGGCGACUCUCUGGUCUGUAAAUGACGCUGAGGCUCGAAAGCGUUGGUAGCAAACAGG
RNAcentral lists this ribosomal RNA (429 nucleotides) under Bacteroidota bacterium. Its description in RNAcentral is "Bacteroidetes bacterium partial 16S ribosomal RNA". It matches the Rfam family "Bacterial small subunit ribosomal RNA", at positions 355 to 776 of the family's 1533-position model. Lineage: Bacteria; Pseudomonadati; Bacteroidota. The record is from RNAcentral.